RNAcentral lists this ribosomal RNA (441 nucleotides) under uncultured bacterium. RNAcentral's name for it is "partial 16S ribosomal RNA". It matches the Rfam family "Bacterial small subunit ribosomal RNA", at positions 339 to 795 of the family's 1533-position model. The record is from RNAcentral.
CUACGGGCUGCUGCAGUGGGGAAUAUUGCACAAUGGGCGCAAGCCUGAUGCAGCAACGCCGUGUGAGUGAUGAAGGUCUUCGGAUUGUAAAACUCUGUCCUAUGGGAAGAAAAAAAUGACGGUACCAUAGGAGGAAGCCCCGGCUAACUACGUGCCAGCAGCCGCGGUAAUACGUAGGGGGCAAGCGUUAUCCGGAAUCACUGGGCGUAAAGGGUGCGUAGGCGGCCUAUCAAGUCAGAGGUGAAAGGCAUUGGCUCAACCAAUGUAAGCCUUUGAAACUGUUAGGCUUGAGUGCAGGAGAGGUAAGUGGAAUUCCUAGUGUAGAGGUGAAAUUCGUAGAUAUUAGGAGGAACACCAGUGGCGAAGGCGACUUACUGGACUGUAACUGACGCUGAGGCACGAAAGCGUGGGGAGCGAACAGGAUUAGAUACCCUAGUAGUC